UACGUAGGGGGCAAGCGUUGUCCGGAAUCAUUGGGCGUAAAGCGCGUGUAGGCGGCUCGGUAAGUCUGCUGUGAAAGUCCAGGGCUCAACCCUUGAAUGCCGGUGGAAACUGUCGGGCUAGAGUCCGGAAGAGGCGAGUGGAAUUCCUGGUGUAGCGGUGAAAUGCGCAGAUAUCAGGAGGAACACCAAUGGCGAAGGCAGCUCGCUGGGACGGUACUGACGCUGAGACGCGAAAGCGUGGGGAGCGAACAGG
Molecule: ribosomal RNA, 253 nt
Filed under: uncultured bacterium
Lineage: Bacteria
Description: partial 16S ribosomal RNA
Rfam family: Bacterial small subunit ribosomal RNA
Source: RNAcentral